Molecule: ribosomal RNA, 441 nt
Filed under: Trapania kahel
Lineage: Eukaryota; Metazoa; Mollusca; Gastropoda; Nudibranchia; Goniodorididae
Description: partial large subunit ribosomal RNA
Rfam family: Archaeal large subunit ribosomal RNA
Source: RNAcentral
AGCUUUAAGAAAAAGAUUUAAAGUUAGGCCUGCCCAAUGUAAUUAAUAAUGAAUGGCCGCGGUACUUUGACCGUGCUAAGGUAGCGCAAUCAAUUGGUUUUUAAUUGGAGCCAGGUAUGAAUGGAGUCACGGGGUUUAACUGUCUCUUGGUUAAUUUAUUGAAGUUACUAUUUAGGUGAAAAAGCCUAAAACUAAAAGGGGGACGAGAAGACCCUUAGAAUUUUUCUUAUAGUAAGUGUAAUUAUAAUAGUUUUGUUGGGGCAACAAGGGAUUAUUAGUUAAAACAUCCCUAAUUUAUAUUGAGCGAUUUUUAUAAAUUUAAAUAAAUUACCUUAGGGAUAACAGCAUAAUUUUAUCAAUAAGUUUGUGACCUCGAUGUUGGACUAGGGAGCUAAAAGGCUAGCCGCUUUUUAGGUAGGUUCUGUUCGAACCAUAAUUCCU